UACAGAGGUGGCAAGCGUUGUUCGGAAUUACUGGGCGUAAAGGGCGCGUAGGCGGUUUCGUAAGUCCCGCGUGAAAGCCCCCGGCUCAACUGGGGAAUGGCACGGGAAACUGCGAGGCUUGAGUUCGGGAGAGGGAAGCGGAAUUCCGGGUGUAGCGGUGAAAUGCGUAGAUAUCCGGAGGAACACCGGUGGCGAAGGCGGCUUCCUGGACCGAUACUGACGCUGAGGCGCGAAAGCUAGGGGAGCAAACGGG
RNAcentral lists this ribosomal RNA (253 nucleotides) under uncultured bacterium. RNAcentral's name for it is "partial 16S ribosomal RNA". It matches the Rfam family "Bacterial small subunit ribosomal RNA", at positions 524 to 776 of the family's 1533-position model. The record is from RNAcentral.